AGAGUUUGAUUAUGGCUCAGGAUGAACGCUAGCUACAGGCUUAACACAUGCAAGUCGAGGGGUAGCAGGGUAGCAAUACCGCUGACGACCGGCGCACGGGUGAGUAACACGUAUCCAACUUCCCAUAACUCAGGGAUAGCCUUUCGAAAGAAAGAUUAAUACCUGAUAGUACUUUUUCAAGGCAUCUUGAAAAAAGUUAAAGAUUUAUUGGUUAUGGAUGGGGAUGCGUUCCAUUAGAUAGUUGGUGAGGUAACGGCUCACCAAGUCUUCGAUGGAUAGGGGUUCUGAGAGGAAGGUCCCCCACAUUGGUACUGAGACACGGACCAAACUCCUACGGGAGGCAGCAGUGAGGAAUAUUGGUCAAUGGGCGAGAGCCUGAACCAGCCAAGUAGCGUGAAAAGGAUGAAGGUCCUAUGGAUUGUAAACUUCUUUUAUAGUAGAAUAAAGUGAGCCACGUGUGGUUUUUUGUAUGUAUACUAUGAAUAAGGAUCGGCUAACUCCGUGCCAGCCGCCGC
This 515-nucleotide ribosomal RNA is filed under the name uncultured bacterium. RNAcentral's name for it is "bacterial SSU rRNA". It matches the Rfam family "Bacterial small subunit ribosomal RNA", at positions 8 to 518 of the family's 1533-position model. The record is from RNAcentral.